Non-coding RNA from Podarcis lilfordi (Lilford's wall lizard), 74 nucleotides. The record is from the annotation of a GenBank genome assembly. NCBI's taxonomy places the organism in Eukaryota, Metazoa, Chordata, Lepidosauria, Squamata, Lacertidae.
GCCUGGAUAGCUCAGUUGGUUAGAGCGUGGUGCUGACAAGGACAAGGAUGCAGGUUCGAUCUCCGUAUGGGACA